Long non-coding RNA from Triticum dicoccoides, 291 nucleotides. RefSeq lists it as uncharacterized. The transcript is spliced from 3 exons. NCBI's taxonomy places the organism in Eukaryota, Viridiplantae, Streptophyta, Magnoliopsida, Poales, Poaceae. The record is from RefSeq and is a predicted model, not a curated record.
CUAUUUUCAAGGUGGCUUCUUCCACAACAUACAUGAUCUUACAUAUGGGGUCGAUAUUGGAAAGAUACGGUUAAUGGGUGUCUUACAGAGAAUUGCAAUGGCAUACCUAGUGGUGGCACUAUGCGAAAUCUGGCUACGGGAUGGUGGAGAAGGUGGCAUAGGCUCUGGCUAUGCAAUAAUCAAAAAAUACCGAUGCCAGUUUCUUGUGGGUUUAGUCCUCACGGCCACAUACACGGUGAUUUUGUACGGUCUGCCCGUGCCGGACUGGGUAUAUAGUGUCACAUCAUCGGA